GGGGAAGACGAAUAGAGGAUGUGGGUGGGGAGGGGGCCGUUGUAAAGAGGAAGCCCCACCAGAGAGGUGUCCUUGGAGUGAGGACCCGGGAGGAGGCUGCUGAGUUGAGAACAGACUGAGGCGGGAGAGGGACCAAUCCACAGCCCAGGUGAGCAAGGACGCAGCUGCCAGCCCCAGGCUGGUGAUGACAGAGGUCGCGAAAGCCUUCGGGUUCUAGAUGUAUUUUCAAAGAGGAGUGGGGGAAUGGAAACCAAGUCUCUGAGGAGUUUUGGGGGCCUGGUUUAUGGAAGUCCCUGUGCUGGAGGAAUGAGACCCUGUCCACACGCUGUGCUCUCUGAUGGGCCUUGUCCUCACAGCAACGCUACAUCUCAAGGAGCCCGAGGUGAAGGAUGCUGCAAAUGCAGGAAGCAGCUUCUGCAGUCACCCUAGGCUGGAAAGGGGGCGCAUUCCCGGAUGCCAGACCACUUAGGUCACUCCAGACCUGGGUUCAGUCCUGCCACUUCCCUGCUAAGACCCUCCCGAGGCUCCCCAUUGCCCAUAGGAACAAGUCUUAUCUCUGUAGCCCAAAGGUCAAUGUCAUCUUCAUUCAAGCCCAAACAUAUUUUCAGUUUCAUUUCCCAGUCUUCCCUCCAAAUUUAACACUCCUCUGUGACCCCACCUGGACACAUCCACUCCUGGCUGCCCACCAGUACUGGGCCUAGAACUGGGCAAGGGGCCCCUGCUCUGGACCCCACCCUUUAUGUGGCUCCUCCUCUGGCCACACCCUUCUCCUUGGAGCAAGCAGUCUACAGGGCCACGAGGAAGAGCCCAGCCGGGGCCUGCAUACCCCACUCCAUGCCACACUCCAGCAUCCGGAACC
Molecule: long non-coding RNA, 859 nt
Filed under: Equus caballus (horse)
Lineage: Eukaryota; Metazoa; Chordata; Mammalia; Perissodactyla; Equidae
Description: lncRNA (ENSECAG00000047214.1)
Source: RNAcentral